GAAAACUUGAGAUUUUAUAAUCUUAAAGAAGUUUUCAGCAUGAGGUACAAAUUAUUUUAAAAAAACAUUAUUUUAGAUACUCAAAAUUAGUUUCAACCCUUUUAGAAUAAUUCUUAUAUUAAAAUUCAAAUCUAAUUCUAAUGAUGAAUAAAAUUUAAAAUAAUUAAAUUAUAUGAAUUCUACAGUUAGGAGAACUGAAAGACAAAUAUUUACCUUACUUUGGGUUGUUUGGGGCUUUUAAUUAAUAGCUCCUCUUAAAAUGUAGCUAUUAAUUAAAAGUUUUUAAUUAUCACGAGAAUACGUGAAUACUACCUAGAAAAUAACUUUUAAUUGCUUAAUACGUAAUGCAGGGUCUAACAUAUAAAUCAGGAUGUCAUUCACUACUUUGUUUGGGACCUAUACGUCUGUAGGGGCAAUGAUUGCAUUGCAA
Molecule: unclassified non-coding RNA, 430 nt
Filed under: Hevea brasiliensis (rubber tree)
Lineage: Eukaryota; Viridiplantae; Streptophyta; Magnoliopsida; Malpighiales; Euphorbiaceae
Source: RNAcentral